ACAGUUUACAGUAUCUGCCAGCUGUGAGUAACAGCAGGCUGUCAUGAUGGGAUAUAGCAGAAGCAGCAGCAGCAACUCCUGAUUUAGGGGCAAUCGAUGAAGAUAAAAUAACUGCACAACUUACUCAAAACCCAGGACAAAUUCAGAGAGUCAAGGAUGGAACUUUGGGCUCCCCAGAGGCUGCCCCAGACACGAGGGAAGGCCACAGCACCCUCAAAGGAUCCAGACCGAGGGUUUCGGAGAGAUGGACAUCAUCGGCCUGUCCCUCACUCUUGGCACAAUGGAGAGAGGUUUCACCAAUGGCAAGACAACCGUGGGAGCCCCCAGCCACAGCAGGAGCCCAGGGCAGACCAUCAGCAGCAGCCCCAUUAUGCAUCCAGGCCAGGGGACUGGCAUCAGCCUGUGUCUGGAGUUGACUAUUACGAAGGUGGUUAUCGCAAUCAGUUGUAUUCAAGGCCAGGUUAUGAGAAUUCAUAUCAGAGCUAUCAGUCUCCCACAAUGAGGGAGGAAUAUGCUUAUGGAAGUUAUUACUAUCAUGGACACCCACAGUGGCUGCAGGAAGAAAGAGUGCCAAGGCAACGGAGUCCUUAUAUCUGGCACGAAGAUUACCGAGAGCAAAAGUACCUUGAUGAACAUCAUUAUGAAAACCAGCACAGUCCAUUUGGAACAAAUAGUGAGACCCACUUCCAAUCUAACAGUAGGAACCCUUGUAAAGACAGCCCUGCUUCCAACUCUGGACAGGAGUGGCCGGGGGAGCUGUUUCCAGGGAGCCUGCUUGCUGAGGCCCAGAAAAAUAAGCCAUCAUUGGCUAGUGAGUCCAACCUUCUCCAGCAGCGUGAGUCUGGUCUCAGCUCCAGCAGCUAUGAGCUCAGUCAGUACAUCAGAGAUGCCCCGGAGCGGGAUGAUCCCCCAGCUUCAGCAGCUUGGAGUCCAGUUCAGGCUGAUGUCUCCUCAGCUGGUCCCAAAGCACCCAUGAAGUUCUACAUCCCUCAUGUUCCUGUGAGUUUCGGGCCAGGAGGUCAGCUGGUGCAUGUAGGUCCCAGCUCUCCCACUGACGGGCAAGCAGCCCUUGUUGAACUGCACAGCAUGGAGGGAAGAUGUACAUAAGGUGGAUAUUAUGACGUUUUGCCAGCAGAAAGCAGCUCAGAGCUGCAAAUCUGAGACACUGGGGAGCAGAGACUCAGCUCUACUGUGGCAGCUCUUGGUUCUCCUUUGUCGCCAGAAUGGGUCCAUGGUGGGGUCUGACAUCGCUGAGCUGCUAAUGCAAGACUGCAAGAAGCUGGAGAAGUACAAGCGGCAGCCCCCUGUGGCCAACCUCAUCAACCUGACCGAUGAGGACUGGCCAGUGCUGAGCUCUGGGACCCCGAACCUGCUCACGGGAGAGAUCCCCCCCAGUGUGGAGACACCUGCGCAGAUCGUGGAGAAAUUCACUAGGCUGCUCUACUAUGGAAGGAAGAAGGAAGCCUUGGAGUGGGCCAUGAAGAACCACUUGUGGGGCCAUGCUUUGUUCCUGUCCAGCAAGAUGGACCCACAGACCUACAGCUGGGUCAUGAGUGGCUUCACCAGCACGCUGGCGCUCAAUGACCCACUGCAGACCCUCUUCCAGCUCAUGUCGGGGAGGAUUCCACAGGCAGCCACGUGUUGUGGAGAAAAGCAGUGGGGAGACUGGAGGCCUCACUUGGCUGUGAUUCUGUCGAAUCAGGCUGGGGACCCAGAGCUGUAUCAGCGUGCGAUUGUUGCCAUUGGGGACACCCUGGCUGGGAAGGGGCUUGUGGAGGCAGCUCACUUCUGCUAUCUCAUGGCUCACGUGCCCUUUGGCCACUACACCGUGAAGACAGACCAUCUGGUCUUGCUGGGCAGCAGCCACAGUCAAGAGUUUUUGAAAUUUGCAACAACUGAGGCAAUCCAGAGGACGGAAAUCUUCGAGUACUGUCAGAUGCUGGGCCGCCCCAAAUCCUUCAUCCCUUCUUUCCAGGUGUAUAAGCUCCUUUAUGCUUCCCGUCUGGCAGAUUAUGGCCUCGUGUCCCAGGCUUUGCAUUACUGCGAAGCCAUUGGUGCAGCUGUCUUGAGCCAGGGAGAGAGCAGUCACCCUGUGCUAUUAGUGGAACUCAUCAAGCUAGCAGAGAAACUGAAGCUGUCAGAUCCUCUGGUUUUAGAAAGACGCAGUGGAGACAGGGACCUGGAGCCAGAUUGGCUAGCGCAACUUCGGAGGCAGCUGGAGCAAAAGGUAGCAGGAGACAUUGGGGAUCCUCAUCCUACUCGCUCAGAUAUUUCGGGAGCCGGAGGAACAACAACAGAAAACACUUUCUACCAGGACUUUUCUGGAUGUCAAGGCUACUCUGAAGCCCCUGGGUACCGCUCAGCUCUGUGGCUGACACCUGAGCAGACCUGCCUGCUCCAGCCCAGCCCACAGCAGCCCUUUCCCCUCCAGCCGGGCUCCUACCCAGCAGGAGGGGGUGCAGGGCAGACAGGGACACCGAGGCCUUUUUACUCAGUUCCUGAGACCCAUCUACCAGGGACUGGCAGCAGCGUGGCAGUGACAGAGGCCACUGGAGGAACAGUCUGGGAGGAAAUGCUGCAGACACACCUGGGCCCUGGAGAGAACACAGUGUCUCAAGAAACUUCCCAGCCUCCUGAUGGCCAAGAGGUCAUUUCCAAACCACAGACACCAUUGGCUGCUAGACCACGAAGUAUUUCUGAGAGUUCCGCCAGUUCAGCCAAGGAGGAUGAGAAGGAGUCCUCUGAUGAGGCUGAUAAAAACUCUCCCCGAAAUACUGCCCAGAGAGGCAAGCUCGGAGAUGGGAAGGAGCAUACAAAGAGCUCAGGGUUUGGCUGGUUCAGCUGGUUUCGAUCGAAGCCCACCAAGAACGCAUCCCCCGCUGGAGACGAGGACUCCUCAGACAGCCCUGACUCUGAGGAGACCCCCAGAGCAUCUUCUCCCCACCAGGCUGGCCUGGGCCUCUCACUGACACCUUCCCCUGAGUCCCCACCUCUGCCGGAUGUUAGUGCCUUCUCCAGGGGCAGAGGUGGGGGUGAAGGCCGAGGAUCCGCAUCCAGCGGGGGAGCAGCUGCGGGCGCUGGGGUUGGAGGCUUGUCUGGACCAGAGAGUGUUUCCUUUGAGCUCUGCUCCAACCCUGGUGUUCUUCUUCCUCCACCUGCCUUAAAAGGGGCUGUUCCUCUUUACAACCCAUCUCAGGUGCCUCAGCUGCCCACGGCCACUAGCCUGAAUCGGCCAAAUCGCCUAGCUCAGCGUCGCUAUCCCACCCAGCCAUGCUGA
RNAcentral lists this long non-coding RNA (3277 nucleotides) under Homo sapiens (human). RNAcentral describes it as "non-protein coding lnc-SEC16B-2:18". The record is from RNAcentral. Lineage: Eukaryota; Metazoa; Chordata; Mammalia; Primates; Hominidae.